RNAcentral lists this transfer RNA (78 nucleotides) under Lentisphaerae bacterium RIFOXYA12_FULL_60_10. Its description in RNAcentral is "tRNA-Val". It matches the Rfam family "tRNA". Rfam says of the family: Transfer RNA (tRNA) molecules are approximately 80 nucleotides in length. Their secondary structure includes four short double-helical elements and three loops (D, anti-codon, and T loops). The record is from RNAcentral. RNAcentral also lists the same sequence under 2 other names. Lineage: Bacteria; Pseudomonadati; Lentisphaerota.
GGGCGAUUAGCUCAGCUUGGUUAGAGCACUACCUUGACAUGGUAGGGGUCACUGGUUCGAGUCCAGUAUCGCCCACCA